UUUUAGGCACUGGAUGGUUGUGAGAUCUGGAAAACCCAGCCGGGUAGAAGGUCAAAAGUGUCAAAAAGGGAGAGGUUAAGGAGCUGGAGUACUUUUUUUUAUUUGGUACAAGAAAAGAGGCACAGGGAAAGAAAAUUGAGAAGAUUGAAAUUUUCUUUUUUGCAUACACAAAGUUAUAGUCCUCUUAGAGGAACUGGAAUGAGAAAAAUAGGAGAUUAGUCAUUAAAUGUUUUUUCUUCUCAUUUUCUUAUUCUUAGAGAUUAUCAUUUGUUUUCUUUUUGCAUUUACAUUCUCUCUCUGGAAAUUAUUAGGGCAAAGGACCAAGAUUGCUGUCAAAUGGCUUGCACAUUUUAGGUAUUACUGUAAAUAAAAGGUGCAUGUAGAGAUGUUUUUCCAUUAUCUAAUAAUUUGUUCUUAUUUGAAAGCGGAAUAGUAAAAGCUUGGAUAUUUAUU
This 453-nucleotide long non-coding RNA is filed under the name Carica papaya (papaya). RNAcentral's name for it is "long non-coding RNA (CPAP_LNC005492)". Lineage: Eukaryota; Viridiplantae; Streptophyta; Magnoliopsida; Brassicales; Caricaceae. The record is from RNAcentral.